CUAAAGUAAUUUUAGAGUGACGGGCAAUUUGAACACUAUCUAAUUAUAUUUAAAAUAAAAAUAAAAUUAUAAUAUUUUAAUUCUGAGUUCUAUUAUUCAGAUUUAGGCCUACCUAGAGUAAAAGCGAUCCACUAAAAAUCUAAUAUAUAUUCUUUGUCUUGAUUUGGUAUCAAAUAUUAUUAAUUUACUAAAUUAUUAUUAAUAUAUUCUAUAUUUAAUUCCAAUGAUAUAAAAAAUUAUAAUAAUAGAAAAGAAUAAAGUGUAUUAUCUAUUACUAAGCAGAACCCCCCAGUUAUUUAAAUAGCCGCCAGAUUGUUAAAGUUUCUUUUAAUUAAAUACUACUUAAUUUAAAAUUAAAG
RNAcentral lists this ribosomal RNA (359 nucleotides) under Calacarus sp. GX30. RNAcentral's name for it is "partial small subunit ribosomal RNA". The record is from RNAcentral. Lineage: Eukaryota; Metazoa; Arthropoda; Arachnida; Trombidiformes; Eriophyidae.